Molecule: ribosomal RNA, 513 nt
Filed under: uncultured bacterium
Lineage: Bacteria
Description: partial 16S ribosomal RNA
Rfam family: Bacterial small subunit ribosomal RNA
Source: RNAcentral
GAUGAACGCUGGCGGCGUGCCUAAUACAUGCAAGUCGAGCGAACGGAUAAGGAGCUUGCUCCUUUGAAGUUAGCGGCGGACGGGUGAGUAACACGUGGGUAACCUACCUAUAAGACUGGAAUAACUUCGGGAAACCGGAGCUAAUGCCGGAUAACAUUUGGAACUGCAUGGUUCUAAAGUAAAAGAUGGUUUUGCUAUCACUUAUAGAUGGACCCGCGCCGUAUUAGCUAGUUGGUGAGGUAACGGCUUACCAAGGCAACGAUACGUAGCCGACCUGAGAGGGUGAUCGGCCACACUGGAACUGAGACACGGUCCGGACUCCUACGGGAGGCAGCAGUAGGGAAUCUUCUGCAAUGGACGAAAGUCUGACGGAGCAACGCCGCGUGAGUGAUGAAGGUUUUCGGAUCGUAAAACUCUGUUAUUAGGGAAGAACAAAUGUGUAAGUAACUGUGCACAUCUUGACGGUACCUAAUCAGAAAGCCACGGCUAACUACGUGCCAGCAGCCGCCGUAA